RNAcentral lists this long non-coding RNA (276 nucleotides) under Ananas comosus (pineapple). RNAcentral's name for it is "long non-coding RNA (ACOM_LNC036250)". Lineage: Eukaryota; Viridiplantae; Streptophyta; Magnoliopsida; Poales; Bromeliaceae. The record is from RNAcentral.
UUGAGGGUCAAUUGCACAAUUUGUCCCAACCUUUGCACCAUUUUUACUUUUGUCCCUAAUAUUUUGUCUUUUACAAUCAAGUUUUCACUUCUUCUUGAUUUUAUAGCGAUUAUGUCUCAACUGUUAAAUCUAUGUGAUUUCGCAGUUUCUCACUUUAGUACCCUAUGGUUUAAAGUGUAUUAAUUUUUCUCCUUAUUUUGGGAGGGUUGUGGGGCCUAUAUUUAAAUUUUUUUUUUAUGAAUUAAUCACAUAUUGAUUCCAACCAUAAUUUUAAUG